UUAGGACGAACGCUGGCGGCGUGCCUAACACAUGCAAGUCGAGCGGAGUUAACAAGAGGAAGUUUCGGAUGGAAUUUGUAAUUAGCGGCGGACGGGUGAGUAACGCGUGAGCGACCAACCUUGCACAAGGGGAUAACGGACCGAAAGGUUCACUAAUACCGCAUGAGACCACGGUGUUGCAUGACACAGAGGUCAAAGGAGCAAUCCGGUGCAAGACGGGCUCGCGUCCGAUUAGGUAGUUGGUGGGGUAAUGGCCCACCAAGCCUAUGAUCGGUAGCCGACCUGAGAGGGUGAUCGGCCACAUUGGAACUGAGAUACGGUCCAAACUCCUACGGGAGGCAGCAGUGGGGAAUAUUGGGCAAUGGGGGAAACCCUGACCCAGCAACGCCGCGUGAAGGAAGAAGGUUUUCGGAUUGUAAACUUCUGUCCUUGGUGAAGAGAAGAAGACGGUAGCCAAGGAGGAAGCCCCGGCUAACUACGUGCCAGCAGCAGC
Molecule: ribosomal RNA, 493 nt
Filed under: uncultured bacterium
Lineage: Bacteria
Description: bacterial SSU rRNA
Rfam family: Bacterial small subunit ribosomal RNA
Source: RNAcentral